Molecule: ribosomal RNA, 440 nt
Filed under: uncultured bacterium
Lineage: Bacteria
Description: partial 16S ribosomal RNA
Rfam family: Bacterial small subunit ribosomal RNA
Source: RNAcentral
CCUACGGGUGGCAGCAGUAGGGAAUAUUGCUCAAUGGGGGAAACCCUGAAGCAGCAACGCCGCGUGGAGGAUGAAGGUUUUCGGAUUGUAAACUCCUUUUGUUAGAGAAGAUAAUGACGGUAUCUAACGAAUAAGCACCGGCUAACUCCGUGCCAGCAGCCGCGGUAAUACGGAGGGUGCAAGCGUUACUCGGAAUCACUGGGCGUAAAGAGGGCGGAGGCGGGAUAGCAAGUCAGAUGUGAAAUCCUAUGGCUUAACCAUAGAACUGCAUUUGAAACUGUUAGUCUAGAGUAUGGGAGAGGUAGGUGGAAUUCUUGGUGUAGGGGUAAAAUCCGUAGAGAUCAAGAGGAAUACUCAUUGCGAAGGCGACCUGCUAGAACAUAACUGACGCUGAUGCGCGAAAGCGUGGGGAGCAAACAGGAUUAGAUACCCCGGUAGUC